CCUACGCGUGGCUGCAGUGGGGAAUAUUGGACAAUGGGCGAAAGCCUGAUCCAGCCAUGCCGCGUGUGUGAAGAAGGCCUUCGGGUUGUAAAGCACUUUCAGUGGGGAAGAAAGCCUUGGGGCUAAUACCCUCGAGGAAGGACAUCACCCACAGAAGAAGCACCGGCUAACUCCGUGCCAGCAGCCGCGGUAAUACGGAGGGUGCGAGCGUUAAUCGGAAUUACUGGGCGUAAAGCGCGCGUAGGCGGUCUGAUAAGCCGGUUGUGAAAGCCCCGGGCUCAACCUGGGAACGGCAUCCGGAACUGUCAGGCUAGAGUGCAGGAGAGGAAGGUAGAAUUCCCGGUGUAGCGGUGAAAUGCGUAGAGAUCGGGAGGAAUACCAGUGGCGAAGGCGGCCUUCUGGACUGACACUGACGCUGAGGUGCGAAAGCGUGGGUAGCAAACAGGAUUAGAUACCCCAGUAGUC
Molecule: ribosomal RNA, 465 nt
Filed under: Vreelandella stevensii
Lineage: Bacteria; Pseudomonadati; Pseudomonadota; Gammaproteobacteria; Oceanospirillales; Halomonadaceae
Description: partial 16S ribosomal RNA
Rfam family: Bacterial small subunit ribosomal RNA
Source: RNAcentral